This 490-nucleotide ribosomal RNA is filed under the name uncultured bacterium. RNAcentral's name for it is "partial 16S ribosomal RNA". It matches the Rfam family "Bacterial small subunit ribosomal RNA", at positions 30 to 507 of the family's 1533-position model. The record is from RNAcentral.
AUUGAACGCUGGCGGCAGGCCUAACACAUGCAAGUCGAACGGUAACAGGAAGCAGCUUGCUGCUUUGCUGACGAGUGGCGGACGGGUGAGUAAUGUCUGGGAAACUGCCUGAUGGAGGGGGAUAACUACUGGAAACGGUAGCUAAUACCGCAUAACGUCGCAAGACCAAAGAGGGGGACCUUAGGGCCUCUUGCCAUCGGAUGUGCCCAGAUGGGAUUAGCUAGUAGGUGGGGUAACGGCUCACCUAGGCGACGAUCCCUAGCUGGUCUGAGAGGAUGACCAGCCACACUGGAACUGAGACACGGUCCAGACUCCUACGGGAGGCAGCAGUGGGGAAUAUUGCACAAUUGGCGCAAGCCUGAUGCAGCCAUGCCGCGUGUAUGAAGAAGGCCUUCGGGUUGUAAAGUACUUUCAGCGGGGAGGAAGGGAGUAAAGUUAAUACCUUUGCUCAUUGACGUUACCCGCAGAAGAAGCACCGGCUAACUCCGUG